This 608-nucleotide ribosomal RNA is filed under the name Burkholderia sp. 179-A. RNAcentral's name for it is "bacterial SSU rRNA". It matches the Rfam family "Bacterial small subunit ribosomal RNA", at positions 371 to 972 of the family's 1533-position model. The record is from RNAcentral. Lineage: Bacteria; Pseudomonadati; Pseudomonadota; Betaproteobacteria; Burkholderiales; Burkholderiaceae.
AUGGACGAAGCUGAUCAGCAUGCCGCGUGUGUGAAGAAGGCCUUCGGGUUGUAAAGCACUUUUGUCCGGAAAGAACAUCCCUGGUCCUAAUAUGGCCGGGGGAUGACGGUACCGGAAGAAUAAGCACCGGCUAACUACGUGCCAGCAGCCGCGGGAAUAAGUAAGGUGCAAGCGUUAAUCGGAAUUAAUGGGCGUAAAGCGUGCGCCAGCGUGUGCUGUAAGACCGAUUUGGAAUCCCCGGCGCUCGAGCUGUGAACUGCAUUGGUGACUGCAUCGCUUGAGUAUGGCAGAAGGGGGUAGAAUUCCACGUGUAGCAGUGAAAUGCGUAGAGAUGUGGAGGAAUACCGAUGGCGAAGGCAGACCCCUGGGUCAAUACUGACGCUCAUGCACGAAAGCGUGGGGAGCAAACAGGAUUAGAUACCCUGGUAGUCCACGCCCUAAACGAUGUCAAGUGGUUGUCGGGUCUUCAUUGACUUGGUAACGUAGCUAACGCGUGAUGUUGACCGCCUGGGGAGUACGAGUCGCAGAUUAAUACUCCAAAGAAUUGACGAGGAACCGCACAAACAGCGGAUGAUAUGGAUUAAAACGAUAGAACAGCGAAAAACCUU